UACAGAGGGUGCAGGCGUUAUCCGGAAUUACUGGGCGUAAAGGGCGCGUAGGCGGCCCGAUAAGUAGGACGUGCACUUCCGUGGCUUAACCACGGAACUGCGUUCUAGACUGUCAGGCUUGAGCACGGUAGAGGCAGAUGGAAUUCCCGGUGUAGCGGCGGAAUGCGUAGAGAUCGGGAAGAACACCAGUGGCGAAGGCGGUCUGCUGGGCCGUUGCUGACGCUGAUGCGCGACAGCGUGGGGAGCAAACAGG
This 253-nucleotide ribosomal RNA is filed under the name uncultured bacterium. Its description in RNAcentral is "partial 16S ribosomal RNA". It matches the Rfam family "Bacterial small subunit ribosomal RNA", at positions 524 to 776 of the family's 1533-position model. The record is from RNAcentral.